UAGAUGUAUACAUUUGUAAUAUACUAUUAACAUAAUAAGGUACACUUUAACUUCACUAUAGUCAAGCAUUGGAUAAACCAAUUAACUGUGUUUUACCACAAAAUAACCAUGGUUUUGCUAAUAAUAAUCAAUACACCAAAAAAACAUGGUUACUAAACUUUUACCACAAAAAAAAAACAUUCAUUUUCGUAAGGGGAAUAUGAGUGUUUGCUUUUUUUGUAGUUUUUGAGUCAAUUGCAUACCGCUUUAAGCUGUACACAUUAAUUAACUUAAACAGUUUUCGUAAAUGCAUUUCAGAGAAAAGUGAAUUCUGAGAUUUGAAUAAUGCAUCUGACGUGUGGGAUGACGUCACGACGCACGUAUUUUGAUUUUUACCAGUCGUUCAAGACAGACGGAUUCAGUCCCAAGAACCUAAAGUUUUUCAAAGACUUUUGUAGGGAGGACUUUGCAGCUAAUGAUUUCCUAAGGCUGAACCAAAAUCUGCCAGACUAAAGUUGAUUUGGGAGAGAAAGAUGUUGUAAACUUAAACAUCUUGACAUUCUUCAAUGAGUAAUUGUUCAAUUUUUAGGCAAACACUGUACACUUUGAAUGCUGUGAAUAAAACUAUAUUUUAAAUACAUUUAAAAUGAAUUGUUUUUGACUGUUUUAAUCAGCUUUUAUUUAUUUGGAAAAAAAUUAUUUUGGUUAUGUUACCAGCAAGUAAUCUAUUCCCAAAAUAGCACUCUUUAAGUUAACUAAUUAUUAACGCACUUGAAGUAUACUCAUUACUAAUCUAGCUGCAGGUAUGUAAAAGUAUACAAAAUGUAAUGUACUUGGCAUAUUCAUUUUUCACCAGGGCAGUUUUUAGAAUUUUGGAUUGGCCAAAAAUAUAUAGAAUGUAUGCAAACAGUCUAUUUAAGGUAUACUAAUGGUAUGUUUGCAAGACACUCAUAAUACAUUUGUAAUGUACUCCUAACAUAAAUAAAACACACUCUAAAUCCACUUAUCAAGCAUGAAUUUAGCACAAAAACAGUCAUGUACUUAAAUUGUACUAAAUACACUUAAAGUUGUUCCACUUUAGCACACAAAAGUACACUAAAUACACUUAAAGUUGUACUUUGUUACAAUUAAUAUACAACUAAAAUAUAUUAAGUACAAAAUUAGUUGUUCCAAAAUAGCACUCUUUAAAUAAACUAAUCAAUAGCACACUUUAAGUAUACUGGUCAUUAGUGCGACUGCAAGUAUACUUAAGUA
This is a non-coding RNA of Misgurnus anguillicaudatus (oriental weatherfish), 1233 nucleotides long. The record is from RefSeq and is a predicted model, not a curated record. NCBI's taxonomy places the organism in Eukaryota, Metazoa, Chordata, Actinopteri, Cypriniformes, Cobitidae.